This 33-nucleotide small nuclear RNA is filed under the name Cervus elaphus hippelaphus. Lineage: Eukaryota; Metazoa; Chordata; Mammalia; Artiodactyla; Cervidae. The record is from RNAcentral.
AUCGCUUCUCGGCCUUUUGGCUAGGGUCAAGUG